AGUGAACGCUGGCGGUAGGCCUAACACAUGCAAGUCGAACGGCAGCACAGUAAGAGCGUGCUCUUACGGGUGGCGAGUGGCGGACGGGUGAGGAAUACAUCGUAAUCUACUUUUUCGUGUGGGAUAACGUAGGGAAACUUAAUCUAAUACCGCAUACGACCUACGAUGGAAAGCAGUGGAUCUUCUCACCUGGCGCGAUUGAAUUAGCCGAUGUCGGAUUAGCUAGUCGGGGGGGUAAAGGCCCACCAAGUCGACGAUCCGUAGCUGGUCUGAGUGGAUGAUCAGCCACACUGGAGCUUAGACACCGUCCAGGCUCCUACGGGAGGCCGCAGUGGCGUAUAUUGGACAAUGGGCGCAAGCCUGACACAGCCAGCGCGCGUGUGUGACGAAGGCGUUCCGGUUGUAAAGCCCUUUUGCUGGGAAAGAAAAGCUGCAGGUUAAUACCCAGCUGUUCUGACGGUAACCAAAGAAUAAGCACCGGCUAACUACGUG
RNAcentral lists this ribosomal RNA (492 nucleotides) under uncultured bacterium. RNAcentral describes it as "partial 16S ribosomal RNA". It matches the Rfam family "Bacterial small subunit ribosomal RNA", at positions 29 to 507 of the family's 1533-position model. The record is from RNAcentral.